GCUCCCUUAGCUCAGUUGGUAGAGCAACGGACUGUUAAUCCGUUUGUCGCUGGUUCAAGCCCAGCAGGGGGCG
Treponema brennaborense DSM 12168 is the source of this 73-nucleotide transfer RNA. It matches the Rfam family "tRNA". Rfam says of the family: Transfer RNA (tRNA) molecules are approximately 80 nucleotides in length. Their secondary structure includes four short double-helical elements and three loops (D, anti-codon, and T loops). The record is from Rfam. Lineage: Bacteria; Pseudomonadati; Spirochaetota; Spirochaetia; Treponematales; Treponemataceae.